GUGGCUGUAGCUCAGUGGUAGAGCAUGUGUUUAGCAUGCAUGAGGUCCUGGGUUCAAUCUCCAGUACUUACA
This 72-nucleotide transfer RNA is filed under the name Camelus bactrianus (Bactrian camel). It matches the Rfam family "tRNA". Rfam says of the family: Transfer RNA (tRNA) molecules are approximately 80 nucleotides in length. Their secondary structure includes four short double-helical elements and three loops (D, anti-codon, and T loops). The record is from Rfam by way of RNAcentral. RNAcentral also lists the same sequence under 1 other name. Lineage: Eukaryota; Metazoa; Chordata; Mammalia; Artiodactyla; Camelidae.